GGGCCCGCACAAGCGGUGGAGCAUGUGGUUUAAUUCGAUGAUACGCGAGGAACCUUACCAGGGCUUAAAUGUAAGUUGCAUUAGCUAGAGAUAGCUAUUUCUUCGGACCACUUACAAGGUGCUGCAUGGUUGUCGUCAGCUCGUGCCGUGAGGUGUCAGGUUAAGUCCUAUAACGAGCGCAACCCCUACCGUUAGUUGCCAGCGAGUCAUGUCGGGGACUCUAACGGGACUGCCGGUGCAAACCGUGAGGAAGGUGGGGACGACGUCAAAUCAUCACGGCCCUUACGUCCUGGGCCACACACGUGCUACAAUGGUAGGUACAGAGGGAAGCCAAUGCGCAAGCAUGAGCGAAUCUACAAAGCUGGUCACAGUUCGGAUCGGAGUCUGCAACUCGACUCCGUG
Molecule: ribosomal RNA, 402 nt
Filed under: uncultured bacterium
Lineage: Bacteria
Description: bacterial SSU rRNA
Rfam family: Bacterial small subunit ribosomal RNA
Source: RNAcentral